RNAcentral lists this long non-coding RNA (527 nucleotides) under Gopherus agassizii (Agassiz's desert tortoise). RNAcentral describes it as "lncRNA (ENSGAGG00000017316.1)". The record is from RNAcentral. Lineage: Eukaryota; Metazoa; Chordata; Testudines; Testudinidae.
CUGAGAAGUACACAUCAAGCACGAGACAGAUGCUGCUAAUACCAAGUAAAAUUGCAGAAGAUAACUUUGAGCAGGGGAUAUGAAGAAGUACUUUAGGACUCCACCAGGACAGAUUGUCAGCACUUCAGGCCUCCGGUACCUGAGAGUGAAAUCAGGGCUUGGACUCUGCCAGGAGGCGCAGCACAGAAAGUCCAGCCGAGGAGGAAAGUAGGCAAAAGGCAAAUAUAAAUUACAUUUGCAACCUCUGGAUUCUAGGCUGCUCUUGGGAGCCAGUGGGGUCAUCAACAUAAAUUAAAACGUGUCACCUUUCCAAGGAUGCCUAUGGGUUGCUCAUCAGUCCAUAGCAGCUCAUAAUCUCCUGUGUGUUCUGUACACUAUGGCUCCACCCACUCCAACCCCAUUAGUCUGCUCUGGCAUGUCCUCUGCACUAGGGAUUGUAGGGAAGGAUUGUAGCCUAUUGUAGGCUUUAGCCCACUUGUGUUUAAAAUGAAGAACUGCUUUUUUUUCCUGCAGUACUUCAUUACUUC